This 814-nucleotide ribosomal RNA is filed under the name uncultured organism. RNAcentral's name for it is "bacterial SSU rRNA". It matches the Rfam family "Bacterial small subunit ribosomal RNA", at positions 50 to 858 of the family's 1533-position model. The record is from RNAcentral.
AAGACAUGCAAGUCGAACGAUGAAGCCCAGCUUGCUGGGCGGAUUAGUGGCAUACGGGUGCGUAACACGUGAGCAACCUGCCUUGAAGUGGGGAAUAGCCCGGGGAAACCCGGAUUAAUACCGCAUGUGGUCUCUUUUCGCAUGAAAAGACGACUAAAGUUUGUAAUGACUCUUCAAGAGGGGCUCGCGGCCUAUCAGCUUGUUGGUGAGGUAAAGGCUCACCAAGGCAAAGACGGGUAGCUGGUCUGAGAGGAUGAUCAGCCACACUGGAACUGAGAUACGGUCCAGACACCUACGGGUGGCAGCAGUUUCGAAUCAUUCACAAUGGGGGAAACCCUGAUGGUGCAACGCCGCGUGGAGGAUGACGGCCUUCGGGUUGUAAACUCCUGUCACCAAGGAACAAACGGCAGGUUCAUAGCCUGUCCUGAGUUAACUUGGAGAGGAAGAGGUGGCUAACUCCGUGCCAGCAGCCGCGGUAAUACGGAGACCUCGAGCGUUACUCGGAUUCACUGGGCGUAAAGAGUAUGUAGGCGGUUUGGUAUGUCAGGUGUGAAAGCCCGAAGCUCAACUUCGGAAUUGCGCCUGAAACUACCGGACUUGAGGCCUGGAGAGGGGAGUGGAAUUCCUGGUGUAGCGGUGAAAUGCGUAGAUAUCAGGAGGAACACCAAUGGCGAAGGCAGCUCCCUGGACAGGUUCUGACGCUGAGAUACGAAAGCGUGGGUAGCGAAAGGGAUUAGAUACCCCUGUAGUCCACGCCGUAAACGUUGUACACUAGGUUUCGGAGGGGCUACCCCUUCGGAGCUCAAGCUAACGC